Long non-coding RNA from Capsella rubella, 871 nucleotides. RefSeq lists it as uncharacterized. The transcript is spliced from 3 exons. Lineage: Eukaryota; Viridiplantae; Streptophyta; Magnoliopsida; Brassicales; Brassicaceae. The record is from RefSeq and is a predicted model, not a curated record.
UCGGCUAUGUUUUUUUUUUGGACCUCUCGUCUCUUUGCUGCUAGCUAAAGAACACCGCAGAAUCUCAUGACCAUUUUUUUGGGGGGUUGUUUGGAUCUCGGUAUUUUCCAUCUAUAUUUCUAUACUUACUUUAAGAAUCAACACAACGAUUCAACUUAUAGUAAUCGUUGUUUGCUUUCAUCCAAUGCAAUCCUAUGGAGGUACAAUGGAGAUCUAAUUUGGGCAAUUGAAGGCAUAGAUGUCAGAAAUUGAACCCAGAUUUGGACGGUUGAGCGAAACGUGAUUGAUAGUUACCAUGUAUACUCUGAAUUUUGCAUUGUUUAGGUUUUAUCAAAUGGAAUCGAUUGGCAAGUCCUGUAACUCUUACCAUGGCUUCGUGCUGGGGAUAGCCGUACUGAUUUCGUAACAAUUGGUUAGUCACGGUAUGAAGAUUAAAAUGAGUGAAAACAUAAAUGUCAAAAUCGAUCUGUAUACCUCCAUAUCAGCCAAAACCAUAUUGAAUGCCUCUACAAAUUUGGUGGAGUACGUCUUUCACGUAUGGAGAACCCUUACUUGGAUCUUCCAAGUAGUCUUGUUUGGUUUCACUUCAUGAAGAAAUACAAAAGAUGCCGACAUCGUUAAGUUUGCUUGUAGAGUAUAAAGAUGUGUUUUUUUUGGUGGUGUAUUGAAUCACGAUUAGGCUUGUAUUUAUAGCUAGGUUGGAAGAUGAUAGGGUAGGUUUUCAUGUAUACGGAUUGGCUUGCGAGAGACUUUGGGUCUAUAUGAUUUUGAUGCAAUAUUAGGAAAAUAAUAUGUCUAUGAAUCAAUAAUUAGCGACAAUUAUGUAUCUUUGAAUGUUUAUACUGCUUUGAUUGAUUGGAAUUUAGGAUUA